GAGAAAUAAAAGAAAAAGAGAAUAAAUAGAAAGAUUGAGAGCAAAUUCUAUUGGGAUUUGAAAAGGGUCAAAUUGAAAUUCUAAUUAGGAAAAGAAGAUAAAAGGAUGGUAGAAUUCUAGUUCUAUUGGAAUUUUGAAGAAGGAGCAAGAUAUGAAUUCUAAUUAGGAAAGAACUGAUUAAAUUCCUAGGGUUCUGGACUUGAAGUUUUCCAAAUAAUUUGCCAAAGUUUGAAAUUAAAAUGAAAGGGGAGGAGGAAAAGGCUCAAACUUGG
This 272-nucleotide long non-coding RNA is filed under the name Gossypium barbadense (sea-island cotton). Its description in RNAcentral is "long non-coding RNA (GBAR_LNC000544)". Lineage: Eukaryota; Viridiplantae; Streptophyta; Magnoliopsida; Malvales; Malvaceae. The record is from RNAcentral.